AUUGAACGCUGGCGGCAGGCUUAACACAUGCAAGUCGAGCGGAGUGAUGGUGCUUGCACUAUCACUUAGCGGCGGACGGGUGAGUAAUGCUUAGGAAUCUGCCAUUUAGUGGGGGACAACAUUCCGAAAGGAAUGCUAAUACCGCAUACGUCCUACGGGAGAAAGCAGGGGAUCUUCGGACCUUGCGCUAAAUGAUGAGCCUAAGUCAGAUUAGCUAGUUGGUGGGGUAAAGGCCUACCAAGGCGACGAUCUGUAGCGGGUCUGAGAGGAUGAGCCGCCACACUGGGACUGAGACACGGCCCAGACUCCUACGGGAGGCAGCAGUGGGGAAUAUUGGACAAUGGGCGGAAGCCUGAUCUAGCCAUGCCGCGUGUGUGAAGAAGGCCUUUUGGUUGUAAAGCACUUUAAGCGAGGAGGAGGCUACUAGUACUAAUACUACUGGAUAGUGGACGUUACUCGCAGAAUAAGCACCGGCUAACUCUGUGCCAGCCGCCGCCGUAA
This 501-nucleotide ribosomal RNA is filed under the name uncultured bacterium. RNAcentral describes it as "partial 16S ribosomal RNA". It matches the Rfam family "Bacterial small subunit ribosomal RNA", at positions 30 to 523 of the family's 1533-position model. The record is from RNAcentral.